This 317-nucleotide ribosomal RNA is filed under the name uncultured soil bacterium. RNAcentral's name for it is "bacterial SSU rRNA". It matches the Rfam family "Bacterial small subunit ribosomal RNA", at positions 26 to 372 of the family's 1533-position model. The record is from RNAcentral.
AGAACGAACGCUGGCGGCAUGCCUAAUACAUGCAAGUCGAACGAACACUUCGGUGUUAGUGGCGCACGGGUGCGUAACGCGUGGGAAUCUGCCCUUGGGUUCGGAAUAACAGUUGGAAACGACUGCUAAUACCGGAUGAUGACGAAAGUCCAAAGAUUUAUCGCCCAGGGAUGAGCCCGCGUAGGAUUAGCUAGUUGGUGAGGUAAAGGCUCACCAAGGCGACGAUCCUUAGCUGGUCUGAGAGGAUGAUCAGCCACACUGGGACUGAGACACGGCCCAGACUCCUACGGGAGCAGCAGUAGGGAAUAUUGGACAAU